This 504-nucleotide ribosomal RNA is filed under the name uncultured crenarchaeote. RNAcentral's name for it is "SSU rRNA". It matches the Rfam family "Archaeal small subunit ribosomal RNA", at positions 345 to 853 of the family's 1478-position model. The record is from RNAcentral. Lineage: Archaea; Thermoproteati; Thermoproteota.
AACCUCUGCAAUAGGCGAAAGCUUGACAGGGUUACUCUGAGUGAUUUCCGUUAAGGAGAUCUUUUGGCACCUCUAAAAAUGGUGCAGAAUAAGGGGUGGGCAAGUCUGGUGUCAGCCGCCGCGGUAAUACCAGCACCCCGAGUGGUCGGGACGUUUAUUGGGCCUAAAGCAUCCGUAGCCGGUUCUACAAGUCUUCCGUUAAAUCCACCUGCUCAACAGAUGGGCUGCGGAAGAUACUAUGGAGCUAGGAGGCGGGAGAGGCAAGCGGUACUCGAUGGGUAGGGGUAAAAUCCGUUGAUCCAUUGAAGACCACCAGUGGCGAAGGCGGCUUGCCAGAACGCGCUCGACGGUGAGGGAUGAAAGCUGGGGGAGCAAACCGGAUUAGAUACCCGGGUAGUCCCAGCUGUAAACGAUGCAGACUCGGUGAUGAGUUGGCUUUAUGCCAACUCAGUGCCGCAGGGAAGCCGUUAAGUUGCCGCCUGGGGAGUACGUCGCAGGAAUUUC